Molecule: non-coding RNA, 106 nt
Organism: Acanthosepion pharaonis
Lineage: Eukaryota; Metazoa; Mollusca; Cephalopoda; Sepiida; Sepiidae
Source: the annotation of a GenBank genome assembly
AGGCAUAUCAUGUUGAAACACCAGUUCUCCUACAAUCACUGAAGUUAAGCAAUGUUGAGCCUGGUCAGUAUCUAGAUGGGUGACCACUUGGGAAUACCAGGUUCUG